CGAUGAGGAGCGAUAGCAUGCGAAGCGAACAGGUUUAGAUACCCUGGUAGUCCAUGCCGUAAACGGUGGGCAAUAGGUGUGGGGGACAUUCCACGUUUUCCGCGCCGUAGCUAACGCAUUAAGUGCCCCGCCUGGGGAGUACGGCCGCAAGGCUAAAACUCAAAGGAAUUGACGGGGGCCCGCACAAGCGGCGGAGCAUGCGGAUUAAUUCGAUGCAACGCGAAGAACCUUACCAAGGCUUGACAUGAACCGGUAAUACCUGGAAACAGGUGCCCCGCUUGCGGUCGGUUUACAGGUGGUGCAUGGUUGUCGUCAGCUCGUGUCGUGAGAUGUUGGGUUAAGUCCCGCAACGAGCGCAACCCUCGUUCUAUGUUGCCAGCGCGUUAUGGCGGGGACUCAUAGGAGACUGCCGGGGUCAACUCGGAGGAAGGUGGGGACGACGUCAAAUCAUCAUGCCCCUUAUGUCUUGGGCUUCACGCAUGCUACAAUGGCCGGUACAAAGGGUUGCGAUACUGUGAGGUGGAGCUAAUCCCAAAAAGCCGGUCUCAGUUCGGAUUGGGGUCUGCAACUCGACCCCAUGAAGUCGGAGUCGCUAGUAAUCGCAGAUCAGCAACGCUGCGGUGAAUACGUUCCCGGGCCUUGUACACACCGCCCGUCAAGUCACGAAAGUUGGUAACACCCGAAGCCGGUGGCCUAACCCUGUGGGGGGAGCCG
RNAcentral lists this ribosomal RNA (714 nucleotides) under Paenarthrobacter ilicis. RNAcentral's name for it is "bacterial SSU rRNA". It matches the Rfam family "Bacterial small subunit ribosomal RNA", at positions 744 to 1455 of the family's 1533-position model. The record is from RNAcentral. Lineage: Bacteria; Bacillati; Actinomycetota; Actinomycetes; Micrococcales; Micrococcaceae.